UACGUAGGGCGCAAGCGUUGUCCGGAAUUAUUGGGCGUAAAGAGCUCGUAGGUGGCUUGUCGCGUCGGAUGUGAAAGCCCGGGGCUUAACUCCGGGUCUGCAUUCGAUACGGGCAGGCUAGAGUGUGGUAGGGGAGAUCGGAAUUCCUGGUGUAGCGGUGAAAUGCGCAGAUAUCAGGAGGAACACCGGUGGCGAAGGCGGAUCUCUGGGCCAUUACUGACGCUGAGGAGCGAAAGCGUGGGGAGCGAACAGG
RNAcentral lists this ribosomal RNA (253 nucleotides) under uncultured bacterium. Its description in RNAcentral is "partial 16S ribosomal RNA". It matches the Rfam family "Bacterial small subunit ribosomal RNA", at positions 524 to 776 of the family's 1533-position model. The record is from RNAcentral.